UAUCCCUAACCUGGGUACAGUUGCAUCGGGUUUGGUGGUGCCUGUCUCUUAUCAGCCAGAGGUAAAGUAACUCCUUGUUUACCCCACUUGGAUUUUGGUCUGCACCCGUAGCUGGUUCAUGCCCUGGAAACAUGC
Pteronotus mesoamericanus is the source of this 135-nucleotide small nucleolar RNA. RefSeq annotates it as small nucleolar RNA SNORA48. The transcript has a single exon. Lineage: Eukaryota; Metazoa; Chordata; Mammalia; Chiroptera; Mormoopidae. The record is from RefSeq and is a predicted model, not a curated record.